AGUAGUUUGAUCAGUGGCUCGAGGACGAACGCUGGCGGCGUGCUUAACACAUGCAAGUCGAACGGUAAGACCUUUCGGGGUACACGAGUGGCGAACGGGUGAGUAACACGUGGGUGAUCUGCCCUGCACUUUGGGAUAAGCCUGGGAAACUGGGUCUAAUACCGAAUAGGACCAUGGACUUCACGGUUUGUGGUGGAAAGCUUUUGCGGUGUGGGAUGGGCCCGCGGCCUAUCAGCUUGUUGGUGGGGUAAUGGCCUACCAAGGCGACGACGGGGUAGCCGGCCUGAGAGGGUGACCGGCCACACUGGGACUGAGAUACGGCCCAGACUCCUACGGGAGGCAGCUGUGGGGAAUAUUGCACAAUGGGCGCAAGCCUGAUGCAGCGACGCCGCGUGAGGGAUGACGGCCUUCGGGUUGUAAACCUCUUUCAGCACAGACGAAGCGCAAGUGACGGUAUGUGCAGAAGAAGGACCGGCCAACUACGUG
This 486-nucleotide ribosomal RNA is filed under the name uncultured bacterium. RNAcentral describes it as "bacterial SSU rRNA". It matches the Rfam family "Bacterial small subunit ribosomal RNA", at positions 9 to 507 of the family's 1533-position model. The record is from RNAcentral.